This is an RNA transcript of Fragaria vesca subsp. vesca, 3100 nucleotides long. RefSeq lists it as uncharacterized. The record is from RefSeq and is a predicted model, not a curated record. NCBI's taxonomy places the organism in Eukaryota, Viridiplantae, Streptophyta, Magnoliopsida, Rosales, Rosaceae. The transcript is spliced from 14 exons.
GGAGAAGCCCUAAUCUUCAAAAUUUAGAACCCAAAAAUAUGGCCGUGGACACCGAUUUCGCAUUCCACGAUUUGAAGCUCGAAGAUCCUUUGCUUCCAUCUUCCAACGUCAAAGCCUCUCUCCGUCUCCGUAAGUCUUCGUUUCUCUCUAUUUAGAGUUUCAAAUUUCAAUUGACAAGUUUGGUGCGGUUGGCGAUGAAUGCACUGCAAGGACUUGAAUCGUCGCCGUCGCUUAUUAGGACUUGACUCAUGCUCUGGGGAAUAUUCUCCACUCCAUCUAGUCUUUCUUCUCCUAAAAUUUGUGAAUUUCUUUACCAAUUUGAGUCUCCAAGCAACCGCCAUACAGUCUGCUUCGUAUAGUCUUGUGGAGGGUUACAUGUGUGCUCUGGAUACCUUGUAUGCUUCUGCGGGUUGUCUUAACAGUGUGGUCCAUUCUGAACUUACUUUGUUGGAGGUGUAUUUGCAUACUAAGGACUCAGAUUGAAUGCCUUGCAAACAUAUGCAACUUGUAUACAUUUUCUGAUUGCUUCCCAGCGUCUUCUUUUGAUGACUUACUUGCGAAAUCCCUAUCUGAGUGAGGGGGUCAUCUACUCACAUAUCUGUAUGCUCAGUUGCAGGUUGCUGUUCCUGCUCAUAGUCCUGUACUAAAAUUUCUUUUUCUUCGUACAUGUGAACCAUACUUCGGAUUUAUAAGAUCAUGGAUAUUCAAAGCUGAGAUUAGCGAUCCUUAUGAGGAGUUUUUGGUUGAGUAUGUUCACUCUCAUGAUCCAUAUGUUGAAUCCGGUAUCUCUGACUUCCCAUUGGCAACUAUUAGGGAACAAGAUGGAGUUCCUGUUCCUUGUUUUUUGAAGGACUUCUUGACUCCACUUUUCAGAGCAGGUCAGCAGCUGCAAGUUCUAGCGAAAUUGCUUCGAUUGUGUACUUUUGUUCCCCCUGAGAACCAUACUUAUGAGAGUUUUCUUCCUUGCUGGAGUGGGUUUUCAAGCAAUAGUCCAUCGUAUGCAUCUCCAUUGACAUUCAGCACAGGAAAUAUAGAGGCCAUGGUACUUUCAUGGGAAUGUUAUUACAAAAGGAUGCAAGACAGACUCCAGAUUCUUUUGACGGAAUUAGAGUUCAAAUUUCAACAGGUAGUUCCACAAGACGCGCUUGUUCUCUUGGAUUAUAGUGGAAGGAGUUCAACCAUCCCAGUAUUAGUCGCAUUGGAUGAAAGUUUUAUUGAAAGGGGGUCAAAUGUGGUGUCUGAUGAUUUGGAUUUGGACGAGUUAAGUACAAGAGACAAAUUAUGUUACACUGCAGAUGAGUACGAGUCAUCUGAAUGUUCAAGCUCAACUAUAUCUGAAGAGCAAAACGUGCUCAAGCAGACAACUGAGUUUCCUAGUCACAUUGUAGGAGAAGAACAAAAGUAUUUCUCUGCUUUAAGCUUCUCAACAGAUUCAUGUCUUAUGGACAACAUUAGUAGUUGUGAAAGAAAAUAUCCAUUUGGGCAUUCUCAUCAUGAAGGCAUACUUACGGGUCAGAUAUUGGACGCUCAAUUUUCAGAUUCUCUCUCUGAUAAGGAUUUGCCCGAUUAUUUUGAGAAACAGUCUGUCAUUGAUAUAGAGUACAAAGAAGGCCUGAAGUCACGUCAAACGGACUUUGCCUCAAAGCGAAGGGGAUGCUACUUUAACAAUGUUUCUGGUGGUAGUUGUUGGGAGAGUUUGCUUGGUAGAUUUGGUGACGCUGUCGUUAACAGACUUGAAGAUCACAGAGAAAGCUUGGCUGCCAGUUUUGACAUACCACUUGAUUUUAUUAUUGACAAAUGCCUUCUGCAGGAAAUCAUGCUCCGAUACAAGUAUGUCAGCAAGUUAACUAUUAACUUCCUUGAAGAAGGAUUUGAUUUGCAAGAACAUUUGCUGGCUCUGCGUCGAUACCACUUCAUGGAACUAGCAGACUGGGCAGAUUUGUUUAUUAUGUCCCUUUGGCAUCAUAAAUGGAGUAUUACACAGGCAGAUCAUAGACUUUCCGAAAUUCAAAGUUUUCUUGAGUCAUCGGUUCAGAGGUCAUCAUGUGAACGUGAUCAUAUUAAGGACAGAUUGUUUGUGUACUUGAAAGGACAUGCUGCAGUGCCUCUUUCAGCAUCUGCUAUAGGAGUCCAUUCCUUUAACUUUUUGGUUUGGGAUAUCGAGUAGACUGGCCCAUCAGCAUUGUUUUGACUCCUGGUGCAUUGAAAAUAUAUGAUGAGAUGUUGUGUUUCUUGAUACAUGUGAAACUUGCUCUGUUUUCAUUGAAUGAUGUGUGGCGCCAAUUGAAGGUAUGGAUUUUAUGGCUGCUGCAUUAACUAGCUUGAAGAUUACUAACUCAAAAUUGUAUUCAAUUAUUGUCUCUCUGAUCUAUCUCCAGGCAUCAGGUCAAUCACUUUGUAUCCACAUUGCAGCAAUAUGUGGAGUCACAACUAUCACAUGUAUCAUGGUGCAGAUUUCUACUCACUUAAGCUUAAGGUCAAAGAUAUGAUGGAUCUUCAGUCUGUACACAUGGCAUAUCUCUCAGAUUCACUUCACAUAUGUUUCCUCUCUGAUGAAACAAAACCUAUAGCUUGCAUCAUUGAGAGCAUUCUGCAGUGUGCUCUAGACUUCAGGUCUUGUCUUACUGGGGGAGUAUGGAAUGCUGGAACAGGCCAAGGGAAUUUAGUUGCAACACUCUCUGGAAUCAAUAUAUCCCAGGUUAUUGCCAUAAAGCGAACCUUUGACAAAAAUAUGAAAGAAUUGCACUCCUGUUACCUCAAAUCACCUAAACAUGGUGAGUUUGGACUCUCUCGCUUCUUGGAAUACCUGAAUUUCAACAAGUAUUACUCAGAUGCUGCUUCCGUGGUCCACAGCUCUGUGACACGAGCCAUUACUGAUAAAUCAGGAUCUGUAUAUACUUGAAGCAUCCCAGUAGAUUAUAAUGAUUGAAGGGUAACAGUAGAAAAGAAGUGCCCAGCUGAUGUUAAAUUUUGAAUUGUAGCAUAGCACUCUUUCUCCAAUGCUGUUGUCUUUCAUACAAGGUAGGAGAUUCAUGUUUUACUCUUGUGUGCCAGUUUUGCAUGCCAAUGAGUAUCUAUAUAUGUACAAAAUGGUUUAUUA